GACGAACCGUGCGAACGUUAUUCGGAAUCACUGGGCUUAAAGCGCGUGUAGGCGGGCCGCCGCGUCGGCUGCUGAAAUCCCCCGGCUCAACCGGGGAAGGGGCACCGAUACGGGCGGCCUGGAGGGGGGUAGGGGGGUCUGGAACUUCCGGUGGAGCGGUGAAAUGCGUUGAGAUCGGAAGGAACGCCCGUGGCGAAAGCGAGGUCCUGGACGUCUGCUGACGCUGAGACGCGAAAGCGUGGGGAGCGAACAGG
Molecule: ribosomal RNA, 254 nt
Filed under: uncultured bacterium
Lineage: Bacteria
Description: partial 16S ribosomal RNA
Rfam family: Bacterial small subunit ribosomal RNA
Source: RNAcentral